AUGUCUACCUGCCUCACUGACAUGAUUAAUGCCAAUGGGGUGGAUUUCCUUGGGCUGCAAGAAACUAUGAAAAGCGAGUAUACUCCUUCCUUUUUCAGGAAGGUAGAUCCAAAUCAAAAAUUUCAUUGGGAGUGGAAUCCUUCUGGGGAAUCUGGAGGCAUCCUUUGCGGUAUAAAUAAAGAUAAGUUUGAUAUCCUAGGGACAAAACAUGGGAAAUUCAUUCUUCAAAUUGACCUUUUUGACAAGAUCAAAAAGAGUAAAUGGGCCUUGAUGGUAGUUUAUGGUGCUGCUCAUGAUGAGCACAAACCUGAGUUUAUAGCAGAAAUGUCCUCUUUGUACCAUAAUACCCUCACACCUUACUUGAUAGGAGGGGACUUUAAUAUUUUGUGGCAUAGCGGAGAGAAAAACAAAAAAACUCCCAUGUCCCAUUUCUCUGAUGUAUUCAACUCUGUCAUCCACCUUUUAGGAUUGAGAGAGAUUAAUAUGACAGGGGGUUGUUACACUUGGUCCAACAAACAAGAUAAUCCUACCUUAGAAAAAUUGGAUAGGGUGAUGAUGUCAUUUGAUUGGGAGGAUUUAUAUCCUCUCGUUUCUGUUCAUAAGAUGGUCAAGGAAAAUUCUGAUCAUAAUCCUCUUUUGCUA
Molecule: ribosomal RNA, 642 nt
Filed under: Triticum aestivum (bread wheat)
Lineage: Eukaryota; Viridiplantae; Streptophyta; Magnoliopsida; Poales; Poaceae
Description: partial small subunit ribosomal RNA
Source: RNAcentral